RNAcentral lists this ribosomal RNA (464 nucleotides) under uncultured bacterium. RNAcentral describes it as "partial 16S ribosomal RNA". It matches the Rfam family "Bacterial small subunit ribosomal RNA", at positions 338 to 795 of the family's 1533-position model. The record is from RNAcentral.
CCUACGGGAGGCAGCAGUAGGGAAUUUUCGUCAAUGGGCGCAAGCCUGAACGAGCAAUGCCGCGUGAACGAGGAAGGUCUUCGGAUCGUAAAGUUCUGUUGGAGGGGAAAAAGAGCGGAGAGAGGAAAUGCUUUCUGAUUGAUAUUACCCUUCGAGGAAGUCACGGCUAACGACGUGCCAGCAGCCUCGGUAAUACGUAGGGGGCGAGCGUUAUCCGGAAUGGUUGGGCGAAAGGGGUGCGUAGGCGGCCUGCUAAGUCUGGAGUGAAAGGUACCGGCUCAACCGGUACAGGCUCUGGAAACUGGCGGGCUAGAGAGCAGGAGAGGGCGGUGGAACUCCAUGUGUAGCGGUAAAAUGCGUAGAUAUAUGGAAGAACACCAGUGGCGAAGGCGGCCGCCUGGACUGUUACUGACGCUGAGGCACGAAAGCGUGGGGAGCAAAUAGGAUUAGAUACCCUUGUAGUC